GACAGCAGUAGCCACGGUAAUACGUAGGUCCCGAGCGUUGUCCGGAUUUAUUGGGCGUAAAGCGAGCGCAGGCGGUUAGAUAAGUCUGAAGUUAAAGGCUGUGGCUUAACCAUAGUACGCUUUGGAAACUGUUUAACUUGAGUGCAAGAGGGGAGAGUGGAAUUCCAUGUGUAGCGGUGAAAUGCGUAGAUAUAUGGAGGUACACCGGUGGCGAAAGCGGCUCUCUGGCUUGUAACUGACGCUGAGGCUCGAAAGCGUGGGGAGCAAACAGGAUUAGAUACCCCUGUAGUCCCUGUCUCUUAUACA
Molecule: ribosomal RNA, 306 nt
Filed under: uncultured bacterium
Lineage: Bacteria
Description: partial 16S ribosomal RNA
Rfam family: Bacterial small subunit ribosomal RNA
Source: RNAcentral